Molecule: ribosomal RNA, 595 nt
Filed under: Escherichia coli
Lineage: Bacteria; Pseudomonadati; Pseudomonadota; Gammaproteobacteria; Enterobacterales; Enterobacteriaceae
Description: bacterial SSU rRNA
Rfam family: Bacterial small subunit ribosomal RNA
Source: RNAcentral
AAAUUGAAGAGUUUGAUCAUGGCUCAGAUUGAACGCUGGCGGCAGGCCUAACACAUGCAAGUCGAACGGUAACAGGAAGCAGCUUGCUGCUUCGCUGACGAGUGGCGGACGGGUGAGUAAUGUCUGGGAAACUGCCUGAUGGAGGGGGAUAACUACUGGAAACGGUAGCUAAUACCGCAUAAUGUCGCAAGACCAAAGAGGGGGACCUUCGGGCCUCUUGCCAUCGGAUGUGCCCAGAUGGGAUUAGCUAGUAGGUGGGGUAACGGCUCACCUAGGCGACGAUCCCUAGCUGGUCUGAGAGGAUGACCAGCCACACUGGAACUGAGACACGGUCCAGACUCCUACGGGAGGCAGCAGUGGGGAAUAUUGCACAAUGGGCGCAAGCCUGAUGCAGCCAUGCCGCGUGUAUGAAGAAGGCCUUCGGGUUGUAAAGUACUUUCAGCGGGGAGGAAGGGAGUAAAGUUAAUACCUUUGCUCAUUGACGUUACCCGCAGAAGAAGCACCGGCUAACUCCGUGCCAGCAGCCGCGGUAAUACGGAGGGUGCAAGCGUUAAUCGGAAUUACUGGGCGUAAAGCGCACGCAGGCGGUUUGUUA